UGCCUCGAUCAAAGAAUGUGAUUUCUAAGGAAAUCAAAGAAAGCACAUGAAAUAGUCAUAUAUCUAUCAAGAAACCAUUUUUAAACAAGAAAGAUACUUUCAUGUUCCAUAACCUUCACAUUAGAAGUCAUACCUCCUAAAACGCCAUCAUUCUGACAUUUCUAAAUGUAUCAUAUAUACCACUGAGUGUUAGAUCAUGGUAAGGUCACCUCUAAUCUUAGUCACCCCAUCUAAGAAAAUAAAAAGUCAAAUAAGAGACGAUGGGUCCCUAGGGAGAACUCAAAGUCACCAUAACCAUCUAAAGAUCAUAUAUUACACAAAAGUUGUCAAAUCACGGGUAAUGAACAAAUGAGAAAUUGAUUCAAUUGACGCGCUACACAAAACACAUAAGAAUCUCUUAGGAUAAACAAGGACCUUCCUCUUAAACAAGUUAAUCCUAAUGGAAAUCUUAUCUUGUAUGAGUUUUCAAGAGAAAGAAACAACUUUAGAAUGAGGCAACCACUUUAAUUCGACCAAAACUAGUUACGCACUAAUUAAGAUCAUCGCCUCUUCCCGAUUCCAUGUUUUGUAGGAAUCAAAUUUUAGUCUUUCUACUGUAAAUUUUGCUUUUGUUGAUGCGUAUUUAGUAAAAAAAAUUGUUUUUUAAGAUUUGUUUGAUUCAAAAAAUUGUGGGUACUAGACAAAAUAGUAAAUCAUUUUUUUUUAUAAAUUGAAUACAUUUUUGUUUUGCAAGAUGUUUAGUGGAUAAUAGACAACACAAAUAAAAUAGUGAAAUUUAUUAUAACACAAAUUAAUAGAGAAGGGAGACUUGGGAGAAAAAUAGAAAACAAAAAGAGAGAUAUUAGAAGGAUAGACACAUGAUUUAAGAGAUGUUAAAUCUUGUCUUGUCAAGCAUCCUGAUUUAUCAAUUGUCCUUUUGCAAGAUUCCAAAUAUUAUUGAGAAGGAG
This 947-nucleotide long non-coding RNA is filed under the name Lathyrus oleraceus (garden pea). Its description in RNAcentral is "Pisum sativum (pea) long non-coding RNA (PSAT_LNC000961)". The record is from RNAcentral. Lineage: Eukaryota; Viridiplantae; Streptophyta; Magnoliopsida; Fabales; Fabaceae.